RNAcentral lists this ribosomal RNA (465 nucleotides) under Vreelandella stevensii. RNAcentral describes it as "partial 16S ribosomal RNA". It matches the Rfam family "Bacterial small subunit ribosomal RNA", at positions 338 to 795 of the family's 1533-position model. The record is from RNAcentral. Lineage: Bacteria; Pseudomonadati; Pseudomonadota; Gammaproteobacteria; Oceanospirillales; Halomonadaceae.
CCUACGGGUGGCAGCAGUGGGGAAUAUUGGACAAUGGGGGCAACCCUGAUCCAGCCAUGCCGCGUGUGUGAAGAAGGCCCUCGGGUUGUAAAGCACUUUCAGUGAGGAAGAACGCCUGGUGGUUAAUACCCAUCAGGAAAGACAUCACUCACAGAAGAAGCACCGGCUAACUCCGUGCCAGCAGCCGCGGUAAUACGGAGGGUGCGAGCGUUAAUCGGAAUUACUGGGCGUAAAGCGCGCGUAGGUGGCUUGAUAAGCCGGUUGUGAAAGCCCCGGGCUCAACCUGGGAACGGCAUCCGGAACUGUCAAGCUAGAGUGCAGGAGAGGAAGGUAGAAUUCCCGGUGUAGCGGUGAAAUGCGUAGAGAUCGGGAGGAAUACCAGUGGCGAAGGCGGCCUUCUGGACUGACACUGACACUGAGGUGCGAAAGCGUGGGUAGCAAACAGGACUAGAUACCCUGGUAGUC